AUUGAACGCUGGCGGCAGGCCUAACACAUGCAAGUCGAACGAGUGGCGGAAGGGUGAGUAAUGUCUGGGAAAAUGCCUGAUGGAGGGGGAAAACUACUGGAAACGGUAGCUAAUAACGCAUACCACAGAAUGUGCACAGAUGGGAUUAGGUAGGAGGUGGGGUAAAGGCUCACCUAGGCGACGAUCCCUAGCUGGUCUGAGAGGAUGACCAGCCACACUGGAACGGAGACACGGUCCAGACUCCUACGAGAGGCAGCAGUGGGGAAUAUUGCACAAUGGGCGCAAGCCUGAUGCAGCCAUGCCGCGUGUAUGAAGAAGGCCUUCGGGUUGUAAAGUACUUUCAGCGGGGAGGCGUUACCCGCAGAAGAAGCACCGGCUAACUCCGUGCCAGCAGCCGCGGUAAUAC
RNAcentral lists this ribosomal RNA (406 nucleotides) under uncultured bacterium. RNAcentral's name for it is "partial 16S ribosomal RNA". It matches the Rfam family "Bacterial small subunit ribosomal RNA", at positions 29 to 526 of the family's 1533-position model. The record is from RNAcentral.